GCCCCUGUAGUAUAGUGGAUAGUACGUGAGGUUGCGGACUUCAUGACCCGAGUUCAAUUCUCGGCAGGGGCG
RNAcentral lists this transfer RNA (72 nucleotides) under Candidatus Woesearchaeota archaeon. Its description in RNAcentral is "tRNA-Arg". It matches the Rfam family "tRNA". From Rfam's summary of the family: Transfer RNA (tRNA) molecules are approximately 80 nucleotides in length. Their secondary structure includes four short double-helical elements and three loops (D, anti-codon, and T loops). Further hydrogen bonds mediate the characteristic L-shaped molecular structure. tRNAs have two regions of fundamental functional importance: the anti-codon, which is responsible for specific mRNA codon recognition, and the 3' end, to which the tRNAs corresponding amino acid is attached (by aminoacyl-tRNA synthetases). tRNAs cope with the degeneracy of the genetic code in two manners: having more than one tRNA (with a specific anti-codon) for a particular amino acid; and 'wobble' base-pairing, i.e. permitting non-standard base-pairing at the 3rd anti-codon position. The record is from RNAcentral. Lineage: Archaea; Nanobdellati; Candidatus Woesearchaeota.